Gallus gallus (chicken) is the source of this 1231-nucleotide long non-coding RNA. NCBI's taxonomy places the organism in Eukaryota, Metazoa, Chordata, Aves, Galliformes, Phasianidae. The record is from Ensembl.
CUUUUGAACCAGAGGGGAAGGUGCGCUACAUCUCUGGUGAAAACUGUCUGAGAAGAGCAACAGCAUUCAUUGAAUCAUAGAACCAUAGAAUCACCAAGGCUGGAAAAGACCUCCAAGAUCAUCUCAUCCAGCCACCCACCUACCACCGGAUGCGGUUGUUCCUCCCAAUGGCUCUGGACUGGUGCUGCAGUAACCCAUAGCAGCCAGCAGAUGGCGCCCUUAGCACAGUCAAGCGAAGAAUCCUUCCUGCUCCGUGUGUGAAUUGUGGCAAACACCGAGCGUGCAGAAACAGCGCUGAGAAUUCUUUAACCAUCAAGUAUCGAUCACUGGCCCCUUUCAGUACACGUAUAUGAGAAUGUCUACGUGUCAGCAUUUUGCUUAACUGGAAAUAUAUUCUCAGUAUGGAAGGAAAUUGCCGUAUUAUGCUCAGGAAUGGCAUAUGGAAGCAGGGCCUUGCCAGGAUGCCUUUGCAGCUGUAUCAACUGACCAUAUCUUUUCCUAGCUCAGCUUAAUACCCCCAGAGUGACCAUAUGCUUCUACAUGUUCUGAUUGUGAGGUUAUUAGAAGAGGUGCAGAGGUGGUUUCUAGCAAGGAUACAUGACCAAGUGGCAAGCCUGAGAUAUUGCUCAAAUACCAGGAGACAGGAAGCAGAGAUGAAAAGAAAACAUGUAUUCAAGGGAUGUGGAAAGGAAUAACCAAACAAAUUAUGAGGAUUCCCAGCACCAUCAACAUCAACAGACGAAGGCCCUCCUUGACAAGACCACUAAGCCAUCCCGUGACCUUGAGCUAAUAACAGAAAGUCUAUGGUAGCGUGAUUUUGUAGCAAGGUAUGCUGUAAGCUGUUUUGAUCAACCAGAAGCUGUUCAAAAAAAGAAAAAGUGGAACCCUUGUGGCAAGUGAUAAAAGCUCAAUGUUAUCGUUACAUUCAGGGGUUAACAGAGCACGUUUCAUGCAGUCAGAGCGGUUAGAGAGACUAAUGUUUCAAAACUGCACAAACAUAGGAGCAAACAUAGUUAAUUUUCCUAAAUAACAAUGUCCACCUAUCACCUGGCUGGGGAUGCCCUGCCAUGCUCUGUUUCCACAGAUCAAAAAGAUGUCUGGAGGCAAUGCCUUCGCAGAGCCAUUGCACCACACAGUCGUGUUGUUACCUUUUACCAUAGGCACCCAAACCUUGUCUUUUUGAUGUAUUGGUGCCACAGUAAUCACCAACAUUCCGAUAAAUAAAUUUAUC